RNAcentral lists this ribosomal RNA (200 nucleotides) under uncultured bacterium. Its description in RNAcentral is "partial 16S ribosomal RNA". It matches the Rfam family "Bacterial small subunit ribosomal RNA", at positions 524 to 723 of the family's 1533-position model. The record is from RNAcentral.
UACAGAGGGUGCAAGCGUUAAUCGGAAUUACUGGGCGUAAAGCGUGCGCAGGCGGUUUUGUAAGCCAGAUGUGAAAUCCCCGGGCUUAACCUGGGAACUGCAUUUGGGACUGCAAGGCUAGAGUGUGUCAGAGGGGGGUGGAAUUCCGCGUGUAGCAGUGAAAUGCGUAGAGAUGCGGAGGAACACCGAUGGCGAAGGCG